GACGAACGCUGGCGGCGUGCUUAACACAUGCAAGUCGAACGGAAAGGCCCUGCUUUUGUGGGGUGCUCGAGUGGCGAACGGGUGAGUAACACGUGAGUAACCUGCCCUUGACUUUGGGAUAACUUCAGGAAACUGGGGCUAAUACCGGAUAGGAGCUCCUGCUGCAUGGUGUGGGUUGGAAAGUUUCGGCGGUUGGGGCUGGACUCGCGGCUUAUCAGCUUGUUGGUGGGGUAGUGGCUUACCAAGGCUUUGACGGGUAGCCGGCCUGGGAGGGUGACCGGCGACAAUGGGACUGAGAUACGGCCCAGACUCCUACGGGAGGCAGCAGUGGGGAAUAUUGCAGAAUGAGCGGAAGCCUGAUGCAGCAACGCCGCGUGCGGGAUGACGGCCUUCGGGUUGUAAACAGCUUUCGACUGUGACGAAGCGUGAGUGACGGUAAUGGGUAAAGAAGCACCGGCUAACUACGUG
Molecule: ribosomal RNA, 468 nt
Filed under: uncultured bacterium
Lineage: Bacteria
Description: partial 16S ribosomal RNA
Rfam family: Bacterial small subunit ribosomal RNA
Source: RNAcentral